Non-coding RNA from Arachis ipaensis, 275 nucleotides. Lineage: Eukaryota; Viridiplantae; Streptophyta; Magnoliopsida; Fabales; Fabaceae. The record is from RefSeq and is a predicted model, not a curated record.
ACCAAGAUUGGUUCCAUUGCUUGGCAUAGAUGUUUGGGAGCAUGCAUAUUACUUACAGGAAUUGAAUCAAGAGAGUGAGAUUUCAUCGCCAAAAGAGUUAGGAAGUAGGUCUUCUGGAGCAAGCAAUAGAGCAGCAUGAAAUAUGAUGGAGAUUUUAUGUAUUAAGAGUUACAUGUUAUGACAUUUAUAGUUGAAAAAUUAUGUUAUGUUUGAUACUUUGUAUAAGAGUUAUUACUUUUGAUUUUCAAUACUAAAAAAUCAUAUAUUAUGUUUAA